GAUGAACGCUGGCGGCAUGCCUAACACAUGCAAGUCGAACGGCAAGACAGUGAUAUCUUGCUCUUACCGGUGGCGGGUGGCGGGCGGAUGACGAGUGCAUCCGAACCUACUCUUUCGGGUAGGUUAACGUAACGAAACUUACUCUAAUACAGCAUACGAUCUACGGGUGAAAGCAGUGGAUAUUCUCACCUUUCGCGAUUGAACUAGCCGAUGUCGGAGUAGCUAGUUGGGGGGUUAAAGACCCACCAAGGCGACGAUACGUAGCUGGUCUGAGAGGAUGAUCGGCCACAUUGGAACUGAGACACGGUCCAGACUCCUACGGGAGGCAGCAGUGGGGAAUAUUGGGCAAUGGGCGAAAGCCUGAUGCAGCCAUACCGCGUGUGUGAAGAAGGCCUUGGGUUUGUAAAGCCCUUUUGUUGGGAAAGAACAGCUGUAGGUUAAUACGCCGCUGUUCUGACGGUACCGAAUGAAUAAGCACCGGCUAACUACGUG
Molecule: ribosomal RNA, 492 nt
Filed under: uncultured bacterium
Lineage: Bacteria
Description: partial 16S ribosomal RNA
Rfam family: Bacterial small subunit ribosomal RNA
Source: RNAcentral